RNAcentral lists this small RNA (314 nucleotides) under Rattus norvegicus (Norway rat). RNAcentral describes it as "Enox non-coding RNA". The record is from RNAcentral. Lineage: Eukaryota; Metazoa; Chordata; Mammalia; Rodentia; Muridae.
CAGCCAUGAUUAAGGUACUGAAAUUUCUUUUGACUGAAUCCAACAGCAUUCAACAACAGAACACAGAUCACCUUUUAAGGUCUAUUAUAACAGAUGCUUCCAGACUACAUAAUCAGUAACAUCCUCAGUUGGAAUACAUAAGAAAGUUAUGGGGGAGGGGGAGCAUAUUAUACCAUAAAGAAUGUUGCAAACAAGCUAGUUUUAUCAACUACUAGAUUUUGAUGAGAAAGAGCUGAGGCUGUUCUUGGAGGCCUCUGGGGAGCUGGAAUAAACACUCCAUUUUGGAGACAUUCACGAUGGGUCAAACUAAUUAG